CCUACGGGUGGCAGCAGUGAGGAAUAUUGGUCAAUGGACGGAAGUCUGAACCAGCCAUGCCGCGUGCAGGAAGACGGCUCUAUGAGUUGUAAACUGCUUUUGUACAAGGGUAAACCUGAAUACGUGUAUUCAGCUGAAAGUACUGUACGAAUAAGGAUCGGCUAACUCCGUGCCAGCAGCCGCGGUAAUACGGAGGAUCCAAGCGUUAUCCGGAUUUAUUGGGUUUAAAGGGUGCGUAGGCGGAUUGAUAAGUUAGAGGUGAAAUGUCCGAGCUUAACUCGGGAACUGCCUCUAAUACUGUUGAUCUAGAGAGUAGAUGCGGUAGGCGGAAUGUAUGGUGUAGCAGUGAAAUGCUUAGAGAUCGGACAGAACACCGAUGGCGAAGGCGGCUUACCAAUCAUUAUCUGACGUUGAGGCACGAAGGCCAGGGGAGCAAAAGGGAUUAGAUACCCUGGUAGUC
Molecule: ribosomal RNA, 460 nt
Filed under: uncultured bacterium
Lineage: Bacteria
Description: partial 16S ribosomal RNA
Rfam family: Bacterial small subunit ribosomal RNA
Source: RNAcentral